Molecule: ribosomal RNA, 206 nt
Filed under: uncultured bacterium
Lineage: Bacteria
Description: partial 16S ribosomal RNA
Rfam family: Bacterial small subunit ribosomal RNA
Source: RNAcentral
CACGUAGGUGGCGACGUAAGUCGGGUGUGAAAGCCCCGGGCUCAACCUGGGAAUUGCAUUCGAGACUGCAUUGCUGGAGUACGGAAGAGGAAGGCGGAAUUCCCGGUGUAGCGGUGAAAUGCGUAGAUAUCGGGAGGAACAUCAGUGGCGAAGGCGGCCUUCUGGUCCAGUACUGACACUCAAGUGCGAAAGCGUGGGAGCAAACA